Molecule: ribosomal RNA, 250 nt
Filed under: uncultured bacterium
Lineage: Bacteria
Description: partial 16S ribosomal RNA
Rfam family: Bacterial small subunit ribosomal RNA
Source: RNAcentral
UACGGGGGGUGCGAGCGUUGUCCGGAAUCACUGGGCGUAAAGGGCGCGUAGGUGGCUUGGUAAGUCUGUGGUGAAAGCCCGGAGCUCAACUCCGGGUCUGCCGCGGAUACUGCGAGGCUUGAGUGCUGUAGAGGGGGGUAGAAUAUCGGGUGUAGCGGUGGAAUGCGUAGAGAUCCGAUAGAAGACCGGUGGCGAAGGCGGCCCCCUGGGCAGUAACUGACACUGAGGCGCGACAGCGUGGGGAGCAAAC